This 497-nucleotide ribosomal RNA is filed under the name uncultured bacterium. RNAcentral's name for it is "partial 16S ribosomal RNA". It matches the Rfam family "Bacterial small subunit ribosomal RNA", at positions 28 to 507 of the family's 1533-position model. The record is from RNAcentral.
GAUGAACGCUGGCGGCGUGCCUAACACAUGCAAGUCGAGCGAACAGACGAGGAGGGUUCUCCACUAACGUUAGCGGCGGAAGGGCGAGUAAGACAUGUAUAACCAACCUAUAAAACUGGGAGAAAUUCGGGAAACCGUAGCGAAUACCGGCUAAUAUAUUAAACAGCAUGGUUCAAUAGUGAAAGAGGGUUUUGCUGUCACUGAUAGAUGGAUUCGCGCCGGAUUAGCUAGUUGGUAAGGUAACGGCUUACCAAGGCAACGAUGCGUAGCCGACCUGAGAGGGUGACCGGCCACACUGGAACUGAGACACGGUCCAGACUCCUACGGGAGGCAGCAGUGGGGAAUCUUGCGCAAUGGGCGAAAGCUUGACGGAGCAACGCCGCGUGAGGGAUGAAGGUCUUCGGAUCGUAAAACUCUGUUAUUAGGGAAGAACAAAUGUGUAAGUAACUAUGCACGUCUUGACGGUACCUAAUCAGAAAGCCACGGCUAACUACGUG